CGCCGAAGGUGGGGCUGAUGACUGGGGUGAAGUCGUAACAAGGUAGCCGUACCGGAAGGUGCGGCUGGAUCACCUCCUAACAGGGAGACAACAACUGAUCGUGAUGUCUAAGUUAUUUAUCCUUAGGCCAUGAUCCUGUCACCUUAGGUCGAUCGGUACCUCAGCUCAAUAGAUAAAUAAAAUCUAAGUUAUUAGCUUAUAUAUAGCUAUUGAGUUCAGUUCCUAAACUUUGUCUAGGUCACACCCAACAAGGGUACUCCUGGGCCAUUAGCUCAGGUGGUUAGAGCGCACCCCUGAUAAGGGUGAGGUCCCUGGUUCAAGUCCAGGAUGGCCCAUUCGGUUUUGGGGGUAUAGCUCAGUUGGUAGAGCGCCUGCUUUGCAAGCAGGAUGUCAGCGGUUCGAGUCCGCUUACCUCCACUGAUCGACCUCUUGAUCACAAAGAUUAAGGAGAGCUUUGUUGAUGGUUUGAUUUAGACUUUGUUCCCUCUGAAAUGAACCUAGCUUCCUAUCAUUCCUUUUUGACUAAGUCAAUUUAGGUUGGAAGGAUGCUGGGCUCUCUGCAUUUAUUAAAUGUGGAAGAAGUUCAGUAGAACCUUGAAAACUGCAUAGUGAGUCUGGAAAGAAUAAAGCAUCUCAUGGAUGGAUUAUUCUUCUUAUUUAUUAAUAGUUAUUCUGCGAAAGUGGUUGAUUAUUGAUAACUUAUGGAAGAGUAAUUUCUUAAAAUUCUUGAGUAAGAGCCGAGACUCUAAAACUUUCAACUUUUAGAGUUAAAAAUGGUCAAGCUACAAAGGGC
RNAcentral lists this unclassified non-coding RNA (793 nucleotides) under uncultured Prochlorococcus sp. RNAcentral describes it as "partial may contain 16S ribosomal RNA, 16S-23S ribosomal RNA intergenic spacer, and 23S ribosomal RNA". The stretch from base 345 to 417 matches the Rfam family "tRNA". Lineage: Bacteria; Bacillati; Cyanobacteriota; Cyanophyceae; Synechococcales; Prochlorococcaceae. The record is from RNAcentral.